This 255-nucleotide ribosomal RNA is filed under the name uncultured bacterium. Its description in RNAcentral is "partial 16S ribosomal RNA". It matches the Rfam family "Bacterial small subunit ribosomal RNA", at positions 524 to 776 of the family's 1533-position model. The record is from RNAcentral.
UACGUAGGGUGCGAAGCGUUGUCCGGAAUUAUUGGGCGUAAAGAGCUCGUAGGCGGCUUGUCACGUCGGGUGUGAAAGCCCGGGGCUUAACCCCGGGUCUGCAUUCGAUACGGGCUAGCUAGAGUGUGGUAGGGGAGAUCGGAAUUCCUGGUGUAGCGGUGAAAUGCGCAGAUAUCAGGAGGAACACCGGUGGCGAAGGCGGAUCUCUGGGCCAUUACUGACGCUGGAGGAGCGAAAGCGUGGGGAGCGAACAGG